CCUACGGGUGGCAGCAGUGAGGAAUAUUGGUCAAUGGCCGUAAGGCUGAACCAGCCAAGUCGCGUGAAGGAAGAAGGAUCUAUGGUUUGUAAACUUCUUUUUUAGGGGAAUAAAGGUAUCCACGUGUGGAUAUUUGUAUGUCCCAUAUGAAUAAGGAUCGGCUAACUCCGUGCCAGCAGCCGCGGUAAUACGGAGGAUCCGAGCGUUAUCCGGAUUUAUUGGGUUUAAAGGGAGCGUAGGUGGAUUGUUAAGUCAGUUGUGAAAGUUUGCGGCUCAACCGUAAAAUUGCAGUUGAAACUGGCAGUCUUGAGUACAGUAGAGGUGGGCGGAAUUCGUGGUGUAGCGGUGAAAUGCUUAGAUAUCACGAAGAACUCCGAUUGCGAAGGCAGUUCACUGGACUGCAACUGACACUGAGGCUCGAAAGUGUGGGUAUCAAACAGGAUUAGAUACCCCAGUAGUC
RNAcentral lists this ribosomal RNA (460 nucleotides) under uncultured bacterium. RNAcentral's name for it is "partial 16S ribosomal RNA". It matches the Rfam family "Bacterial small subunit ribosomal RNA", at positions 338 to 795 of the family's 1533-position model. The record is from RNAcentral.